CGACCAUCCAGAGCGGCCGAGAGAUCUGGCUCGACGACGCCGCAGCAACCCGGCCCCCGGGUGCUACCGCCAGGACCGAUGGAGG
Molecule: non-coding RNA, 85 nt
Filed under: Kineococcus radiotolerans
Lineage: Bacteria; Bacillati; Actinomycetota; Actinomycetes; Kineosporiales; Kineosporiaceae
Also listed under: 1 other name
Description: SAM-I sequence
Rfam family: SAM riboswitch aptamer (S box leader)
About the family: The SAM riboswitch is found upstream of a number of genes which code for proteins involved in methionine or cysteine biosynthesis in Gram-positive bacteria. The SAM riboswitch acts at the level of transcription termination control.
Source: RNAcentral